This 465-nucleotide ribosomal RNA is filed under the name uncultured bacterium. Its description in RNAcentral is "partial 16S ribosomal RNA". It matches the Rfam family "Bacterial small subunit ribosomal RNA", at positions 28 to 507 of the family's 1533-position model. The record is from RNAcentral.
GACGAACGCUGGCGGCGUGCUUAACACAUGCCAGUCGAACGGAAAGGCCCUGCUUGCCGGGUACUCGAGUGGCGAACGGGUGAGUAACACGUGGGUGAUCUGCCCUGCACUUCGGGAUAAGCCUGGGAAACUGGGUCUAAUACCGGAUAGGAGCCAUUUUUAGUGUGAUGGUUGGAAAGUUUUUUCGGUGUAGGAUGAGCUCGCGGCCUAUCAGCUUGUUGGUGGGGUAAUGGCCUACCAAGGCGGCGACGGGUAGCCGGCCUGAGAGGGUGGACGGCCACAUUGGGACUGAGAUACGGCCCAGACUCCUACGGGAGGCAGCAGUGGGGAAUAUUGCACAAUGGGCGCAAGCCUGAUGCAGCGACGCCGCGUGGGGGAUGACGGCCUUCGGGUUGUAAACUCCGUUCGCUAGGGACGAAGCUUUUUGUGACGGUACCUAGAGAAGAAGCACCGGCUAACUACGUG